Molecule: small nucleolar RNA, 143 nt
Organism: Sorex fumeus (smoky shrew)
Lineage: Eukaryota; Metazoa; Chordata; Mammalia; Eulipotyphla; Soricidae
Product: small nucleolar RNA SNORA70
Exons: 1
Source: RefSeq, a predicted model, not a curated record
UUGCAGCCAGUAGUCCCCACUGUGGUUUCUGCCCUGUGGGGCUCAGUUGCAGUGGCUGCAGAAACAACGAGCAGCCUUCUUGGCAGUGUUUGUGUCAAAACUGUGGCGUGUCGGGGCUGUUCUAAGGGUCCUUGGAGAAAGUC